RNAcentral lists this ribosomal RNA (510 nucleotides) under uncultured bacterium. RNAcentral's name for it is "partial 16S ribosomal RNA". It matches the Rfam family "Bacterial small subunit ribosomal RNA", at positions 28 to 507 of the family's 1533-position model. The record is from RNAcentral.
GACGAACGCUGGCGGCGUGCUUAACACAUGCAAGUCGAACGAAGAGGGAUGGAAGCUUGCUUCUAUCAAUCUUAGUGGCGAACGGGUGAGUAACGCGUAAUCAACCUGCCCUUCGGAGGGGGACAACAGUUGGACACGACUGCUAAUACCGCAUACGAUCUAAUCUCGGCAUCGAGGAUAGAUGAAAGGUGGCCUCUACAUGUAAGCUAUCACUGAAGGAGGGGAUUGCGUCGUAUUAGCUAGUUGGAGGGGUAACGGCCCACGAAGGCGAGGAUCAGUAGCCGGUCUGAGUGGAUGGUCGGCCACAUUGGGACUGAGACACGCCCAAUACUCCUACGGGAGGCAGCAGUGUGCAAUCUUCCGCAAUAGACGAAAGUCUGACGGAGCAACGCCGCGUGAGUUAUGACGGCCUUCGGGUUGUAAAGCUCGGUUAAUCGUUACGAAAGGCCUUCUUGCGAAGAGUGGGAAGUAUUGACGGUACCGGAAGAGAAAGCCACGGCUAACUACGUG